This 23-nucleotide microRNA is filed under the name Lotus japonicus. RNAcentral describes it as "lja-miR11149a-3p". The record is from miRBase by way of RNAcentral. Lineage: Eukaryota; Viridiplantae; Streptophyta; Magnoliopsida; Fabales; Fabaceae.
UGAUUGAAUGAUGGUGUAAAACU